This 65-nucleotide transfer RNA is filed under the name Cnizocoris sinensis. Its description in RNAcentral is "tRNA-Ile". Lineage: Eukaryota; Metazoa; Arthropoda; Insecta; Hemiptera; Phymatidae. The record is from RNAcentral.
AAUGAGAUGCCUGAUAAAAAGGACUAUUUUGAUAGAAUAGAAUAUGUAGUUAUUUACUCUCAUUA